GCGACGAUUUCUUCGGGCCUCUUUCCGACCCGUCUUGAAACACGGACCAAGGAGUCUAACAUGCGCGCGAGUCGCGGGGCAUCGAGCGUACCGCACGGUGCGCUCGUCAUAUGCGAAACCCGUCUCUGAAAGGCGUAAUGAAAGUGAACAGGGAAGAUGGCGUUCCGAGACCACGUACCGUGAUCGAGUGUCGCGGCCGGACGUCCGCACUCCCGGGGCGUCUCAAUGGCUCGUCGCGGACGCGGACGAUCGUCUCUCCGGGGACGGUGGUCGGUCUGCGUCGGACCGAGGCGCACCUACAGCGUGCACGUUGGUACCCGAAAGAUGGUGAACUAUGCCUGGCCAGGAUGAAGUCAGGGGAAACCCUGAUGGAGGUCCGCAGCGAUUCUGACGUGCAAAUCGAUCGU
RNAcentral lists this ribosomal RNA (407 nucleotides) under Pseudaulacaspis pentagona. RNAcentral describes it as "eukaryotic LSU rRNA". It matches the Rfam family "Eukaryotic large subunit ribosomal RNA", at positions 620 to 905 of the family's 3401-position model. The record is from RNAcentral. Lineage: Eukaryota; Metazoa; Arthropoda; Insecta; Hemiptera; Diaspididae.